RNAcentral lists this long non-coding RNA (839 nucleotides) under Citrus sinensis (sweet orange). RNAcentral's name for it is "long non-coding RNA (CSIN_LNC003472)". The record is from RNAcentral. Lineage: Eukaryota; Viridiplantae; Streptophyta; Magnoliopsida; Sapindales; Rutaceae.
UCAACCAAAUAUUUUUCCACCUCACUUUUGCCUAAAGUCUCUUUCUUUCUCUUUUUUCUUUUGGAAGCUUCUUCCGUAUCAUGUAUUUUCCCUAGACUCACUUCCUCCCACAUUCACAUCUACAUCACAUGACAAGAUACUAGGAGUCGUAGAGUACAAGGCAUGACAACAUUUGUAAACCACUACCAAUUAAUCUUUGAUGCUUGCUACCAUUGCUUCAACUUUGUUGGUAUCAUACAAGGAUUCAAAACAAAAUGAGACAUAUGUGUCGUUUAUUUUUUAACUUAAUUAAUUAAGUUAAUUAGAAGUAUUUAUUUUUAUAACUUAAUACGACUUUUAGAUAAUUUUGACUUAAUAAAAUAAGCCAAUUUUUUUUAUUUUUACUCAAUGGAGAAAUAUGAAUUAAGUCAAUUACUUGUUAAUGUCAAAAAUAUCCCUAUUUUAUAAUUUAUUUUUCAUAUCUAUCCCAAAACUCACUCAUAGAUAUUUACCCCACAUAAAAAUAUCCUUAUUUUUUCUUUCUUAUAUUAUAUACGAUAAAAUUUGAAAUUUAUGGUAUUUUAUAUAUUAAAAUUCUAAAAUAAUUAUGUAUUCACUUGAAUAUAAUUUUACUUAUAAAUAUUAAAAUAUUGUAUUCACUUGAAUAUAAAGACGAAAAAACAAACAUAUUAUUCAGAUUCAGACAUUCAGAUCUAUUCAGAAUUCAGACUAAUUCAGGUCUAUUCAGAUUUCAGACAAAAAAACAAACGCCACCAUAGUCCAACUUAUAUCGAGGAUCAAGGACAACUGCAAUAAUCAAUAAUUUAUUCAUGUUUUCCACCGAACCCCAAUAUUUAUCA